GAGAAACCUGUCCCGAAGAUGGGAAUAGCCCAGGGAAACCUGGAUUAAUACCCAAUACCCUGAGAGCGUCGCAUGGCGCACUCAGGAAAGGUUCCGGCGCUUUGGGAGGGUCUCGCGGCCUAUCAGCUUGUUGGUGAGGUAAAAGCUCACCAAGGCAUCGACGGGUAGCUGGUCUGAGAGGACGAUCAGCCACACUGGGACUGAGACACGGCCCAGACUCCUACGGGAGGCAGCAGUAGGGAAUCUUGCGCAAUGGGCGAAAGCCUGACGCAGCAACGCCGCGUGGGGGAAGAAGGCUCUAGGGUCGUAAACCCCUUUCAGCAGGGACGAAAAUGACGGUACCUGCAGAAGAAGCGCCGGCCAACUACGUGCCAGCAGCCGNGGUAAUACGUAGGGCGCAAGCGUUGUCCGGAUUUAUUGGGCGUAUAGGGCUCGUAGGCGGUUCGGUAAGUCGGGUGUGAAAACUCAGGGCUCAACUCUGAGACGCCACUCGAUACUGCCAUGACUAGAGUCCGGUAGAGGAGUGCGGAAUUCCUGGUGUAGCGGUGAAAUGCGCAGAUAUCAGGAGGAACACCGACAGCGAAGGCAGCACUCUGGGCCGGUACUGACGCUGAGGAGCGAAAGCGUGGGGAGCAAACAGG
Molecule: ribosomal RNA, 641 nt
Filed under: uncultured bacterium
Lineage: Bacteria
Description: bacterial SSU rRNA
Rfam family: Bacterial small subunit ribosomal RNA
Source: RNAcentral